CACAUUCAUCGCUGUCGGUGGG
Molecule: microRNA, 22 nt
Filed under: Oreochromis niloticus (Nile tilapia)
Lineage: Eukaryota; Metazoa; Chordata; Actinopteri; Cichliformes; Cichlidae
Also listed under: 4 other names
Description: oni-miR-181a
Gene: oni-miR-181a
Source: miRBase by way of RNAcentral